Molecule: ribosomal RNA, 253 nt
Filed under: uncultured bacterium
Lineage: Bacteria
Description: partial 16S ribosomal RNA
Rfam family: Bacterial small subunit ribosomal RNA
Source: RNAcentral
GGCGAGGGGUCCUAGCGUUGUUCGGAAUCACUGGGCGUAAAGCGUUUGUAGGCGGCUCUAUAAGUCGGGUGUGAAAUCCCACGGCUCAACCGUGGAAGUGCAUUCGAAACUGCAGAGCUUGAAUAUGGAAGAGGAGAGUAGAAUUCCUGGUGUAGUGGUGAAAUACGUAGAUAUCAGGAGGAAUACCGGUGGCGAAGGCGACUCUCUGGUCCAAUAUUGACGCUGAGAAACGAAAGUGCGGGGAUCAAACAGG